CUCUCCAGUGUGUAUUCUUUGAUGAACUUGAAGAUCUGAGCCAUUGGUAAAGGACUUGCCACAUACUUUACAAGUGUAAGGUUUCUCUCCAGUGUGUAUUCUUUGAUGCACUUGAAGGUGUGACCUCUGUUUAAAGAAUUUUCCACAAUCUGAACAUUUGUAAGGUUUCUCUCCAGUAUGUAUUCUUUGAUGAGCUUGAAGAUCUGUGCCAUUUGUAAAGGACUUCCCACAUCCUUUACAAGUAUAAACUGAGAACUUCCUUAUGUGUAAUUCCCCAGGGCUAUUAUUUCCUAAACAUCCUGGCAUUUCUCUCUGACAAGUAU
This 323-nucleotide long non-coding RNA is filed under the name Cricetulus griseus (Chinese hamster). RNAcentral's name for it is "lncRNA (ENSCGRG00015030797.1)". The record is from RNAcentral. Lineage: Eukaryota; Metazoa; Chordata; Mammalia; Rodentia; Cricetidae.